UAUUCCCAAUAGGAUUGAAAGCCUGGUAAGGGCGACUGGGCCCCAAUACAUUAUUUCUGCACAUCGCAUCGCAACACCCCUCAACAACGUGGUGGACCAGAACCCGCAGGUGAUUUGUCCCACACCUCACCAUGAAUACCGCCUGACCAUCGAUAAAGCAGCAUCAAGAGGUUCAUGCUUGCGCUCUGCUCCUUUCUGGUCCUUUCACGACUCUUACCAACUCUUACCAACUCAACCGGACGUUCUGUCCCGCCUUUCGCGUGCGCAGGUAGAAGUUACAGGACUCAAAUUAUUGAAGAUAUGAGGAUUCUCCCGAGGCACAUACCCUUAAAUGGGCUGCUGUUCAUCACGCUUGUUGCAGUCGUCGCGUGGACACGAAGUAAGAGAAAUUGCGUGCUGCAGUUUCGCAGCAUAAAUCUUUCCAUAGUUUACACUUCAAAUUAUCCGAUGGGUGAUUGUAUCAGGUGCUAGGAAUUGCUAGUAACCAUUUGUCACAACCUUACCUUAAAAGGCACGUAACCAAAUGAACCCACCUGCGCGCCGCAUGCCUCAAGGCCAUCCUAUAUUCGAUGUUCAUCAAAACUCAAAUAACAUAAAAUUCAUUUCUCUCCAUUCAAACCUCUUGCUUGCAGGUUUGCCUGCAAAUGGGUUGUCCGCGCCACACUCUGGCCGGGAGUUAUUGAGCAAGGGCAACGACCGCGGUGAGAAGAGACCCGCCGGCGCCCCGUACCCGAAGCCUGCUGACGAGUCGAGCGAGACCCGUCCCGACCGCAACAGCAUUCCCGCCGAACGUCCUGAAGUGUUUAACGUCACUCGCCCAGGAUUCAACGGUAC
RNAcentral lists this long non-coding RNA (834 nucleotides) under Volvox carteri. RNAcentral's name for it is "long non-coding RNA (VCAR_LNC002427)". The record is from RNAcentral. Lineage: Eukaryota; Viridiplantae; Chlorophyta; Chlorophyceae; Chlamydomonadales; Volvocaceae.